GCAUUAAUGGGUAGUGGUAACCUGGGUCGUUGCCAUCCGAGUGGAUAUAAAUCUCGACCCGCCGGGGGUUCGAUUCCCCAUUAAUGCA
Armillaria mellea is the source of this 88-nucleotide non-coding RNA. NCBI's taxonomy places the organism in Eukaryota, Fungi, Basidiomycota, Agaricomycetes, Agaricales, Physalacriaceae. The record is from the annotation of a GenBank genome assembly.